RNAcentral lists this ribosomal RNA (424 nucleotides) under uncultured bacterium. RNAcentral's name for it is "bacterial SSU rRNA". It matches the Rfam family "Bacterial small subunit ribosomal RNA", at positions 358 to 773 of the family's 1533-position model. The record is from RNAcentral.
GGAAUAUUGCGCAAUGGCCGCAAGGCUGACGCAGCGACGCCGCGUGUGGGAGGACGCCCUUCGGGGUGUAAACCACUGUCAGGGGGGAAGAACAGCGCAGGUGAGAACAGUGCCUGCGUUUGACGGUACCCCCAGAGGAAGCGCCGGCUAACUCCGUGCCAGCAGCCGCGGUAAGACGGAGGGCGCAAGCGUUGUUCGGAAUUACUGGGCGUAAAGGGCAGGUAGGCGGUCUGUUAAGUCGUUUGUGAAAAUCCGGGGCUCAACUCCGGAAAUGCAGACGAAACUGGCGGGCUCGAGACCGGUAGAGGCUAGCGGAAUUCCUGGUGUAGCGGUGGAAUGCGUAGAUAUCAGGAAGAACACCUGUGGCGAAGGCGGCUAGCUGGGCCGGGUCUGACACUGAACUGCGAAAGCGUGGGGAGCAAAC